UCGAGCGUCAUAAUAACCCUCAAGCCUAGCUUGGUGUUGGGGCCUACUCUUACCGGUAGCCCUUAAAAUCAGUGGCGGUACCGUCGGGUGCUAAGCGUAGUAAUUCUUCUCGCUAUAGCGUCUCGGUGGUUAUUUGCCAACAACCCCUAAUUUUUCUAUGGUUUGACCUCGGAUCAGGUAGGGAUACCCGCUGAACUUAA
RNAcentral lists this unclassified non-coding RNA (200 nucleotides) under soil metagenome. Its description in RNAcentral is "partial contains internal transcribed spacer 2 and large subunit ribosomal RNA". The record is from RNAcentral.